CUGGCGGCCGCGCGCCCGCCUACCUUGUUCCUUCAGGCUGGUGAUGAGCUGCAGCUGCUUCUCCUCGUCCGAGCUGUUCAUUUUGGCAGAAUGCUGUUCUUAGCAGCAUUAUGCACAAUAACUAAAAGGCAGAAGCAAACCAAGUAUCCACCAACCGAUGCAUGGGUUAACUAAAUGUGGUGUACAUAUACAAUGGAAUUCUUCAACCUGAAAAAGGAAGAAAAUCCUGACCAAGCUACAAUAUGGAUGAACCUUGGGUACAUGAUGCUAAUUGAAAGAAGCCAGUCACAAAAAGACGAGAAGCUGAGCAGCUAGAUUAACUUGCCCUGAGCCUUUCAGCUACCACAUUCAAGUGUAUUUCUGCGAUGCCACGUGGAUUAGAGGGGAGGAGAGAAUUGGCCAUGCAGACUAGAGGGGAGGAGAGAAAUGGCAGGUGAACACCGGGAGAUCCACUCUGCCCCUGCCAGUGUAACGUGUGGCUUCUGUACCGAGUCAUGGCCCCUGGGGCAGUCAUCGGCACUGGUAGCCCAUAGGCCCUGUCCCUCUCCUGAGCUUCCUACAGAUAGAACUCCAGCUGCCCACAGCCCAAGAUCGCUCCAGUCACAGCAGAUGCUAUCAGAAUUCAGGGGCUGGGGGGAAGGGAGAAGGCUGCACACAAAAUUUGGGGAGUGGGGGGGGGUGCAGUGCUAUAUUUCAAAAAGAUGGUCAUGGCACUUUGGAAGUAUCGGUUUAAAGUCCAUGGUGUGCCCCCUUUUAGCUAACUUCAGCUACUUCUCAUUUUUCUAACUGUACAUCCACAGAUUUUCAUUAGAAAGCUAAUGACCUCAAAGCACUCUCAGCAAAUACUGAAUGAUCCUAUCUUGCAAUCUCUAAUAGCCUGUGUGCUGACUUAGUGUCAUAAAUUAAUAAAGUACAUGUCAAAGCAUAUAAUCAAACUCUGUGAUGGGGUGCACGUUCUGGAAACUGGUUCAUUUUUAAUAACAAAUUCAGAGGUGGGAGCAUCUCUAAUACUUCUCAUUCCCCAGUACCCAAAUCUUGGUAGAGUUCCUCAGUAAACAUUCCAGGAGAGAUCCUUAACGUGUUCCUGAAUGCUCUGAAAUUGUAUGCAAGAUUGUGAGGGCGUAUGUACAUCUCUCUGGGGAAAGGAUCCUUAACUUUCAUCAGAUUCUCAAAGGACCUGUAACUCCCCAAAGGUUGAGAAUUACUGCAUUUCAGUGAUACCACCACACAUCAUAGUUCCCCCCUUGCACAGUUUUGGUAUGUGUAAAUGUUUUUCUGUAGUGUUCUGGGGAACUAGAAGGAUUUCAAUUUCGUUUCCGUAACAUAUCCCAUUUCUACUGGGGAUACUUACAAGAAUAGGGAACUGACACUAGGAACAGGAAAUGCUACAGCUGGCGAGGCGGGAGUGGGAGGUUUUGUGACACCUUGGGAGAGAUGAAGGAGUCUGGGGAAAAGAAACCGCUUUUGCACUGCCCUCCCGUGUCUGCAGGGAGGAUGGGCAGACGACACUACCGGAGCCCGGAGCCAUCCUGGCCAAAGCUAAAGCUCUCAACCCGAGGAAAUAAGAGAUACAGAAGCACCCCCCCCGGGGUUCAGUUCCACAACACCUCCGGGGAGUUGGGGGUUGAAAAAAUUAAGGUCUCAUGGAAAGAAAAGACCCAUUUGUAGUUUCUAAAAUAAAACAAUAUAAGACAUGA
Molecule: long non-coding RNA, 1697 nt
Organism: Herpailurus yagouaroundi (jaguarundi)
Lineage: Eukaryota; Metazoa; Chordata; Mammalia; Carnivora; Felidae
Exons: 4
Source: RefSeq, a predicted model, not a curated record